RNAcentral lists this ribosomal RNA (583 nucleotides) under uncultured bacterium. Its description in RNAcentral is "partial 16S ribosomal RNA". It matches the Rfam family "Bacterial small subunit ribosomal RNA", at positions 355 to 935 of the family's 1533-position model. The record is from RNAcentral.
UGGGGAAUUUUGGACAAUGGGCGAAAGCCUGAUCCAGCAAUGCCGCGUGUGUGAAGAAGGCCUUCGGGUUGUAAAGCACUUUUGUCCGGAAAGAAAUCCUUGGCUCUAAUACAGUCGGGGGAUGACGGUACCGGAAGAAUAAGCACCGGCUAACUACGUGCCAGCAGCCGCGGUAAUACGUAGGGUGCAAGCGUUAAUCGGAAUUACUGGGCGUAAAGCGUGCGCAGGCGGUUUGCUAAGACCGAUGUGAAAUCCCCGGGCUCAACCUGGGAACUGCAUUGGUGACUGGCAGGCUAGAGUAUGGCAGAGGGGGGUAGAAUUCCACGUGUAGCAGUGAAAUGCGUAGAGAUGUGGAGGAAUACCGAUGGCGAAGGCAGCCCCCUGGGCCAAUACUGACGCUCAUGCACGAAAGCGUGGGGAGCAAAACAGGAUUAGAUACCCUGGUAGUCCACGCCCUAAACGAUGUCAACUAGUUGUUGGGGAUUCAUUUCCUUAGUAACGUAGCUAACGCGUGAAGUUGACCGCCUGGGGAGUACGGUCGCAAGAUUAAAACUUAAAGGAAUUGACGGGGUCAUAGCUGUUU